Molecule: microRNA precursor, 107 nt
Filed under: Marmota monax (woodchuck)
Lineage: Eukaryota; Metazoa; Chordata; Mammalia; Rodentia; Sciuridae
Source: RNAcentral
AGGUGGGUCACCUGGGGAUCUCAGUAGAAUACAGAUUCUGAUUUAGUAGGUCUGCAUAAUGGGGUCUGAGAUUCUGCAUUUCUCACAAGUUCCCAGGAGAUACUGAC